AUGGCAGCUUUACUCAGUGAUGUUCAAGGGCAGUGACUUAAGAAACCUUCAUCGAUACCAGCAGAGCCAGCUGCUCAUGGCAUCCCUCUCUGGAGUCACUCCAGGCUCAAGCAGUGUUUUACCCAUGAGUGGACAUUUUCAAAACAGGGCCCUGGAGAAGGCUGUGAAGGCAUUGCGUGAGAACAGCCCUCCCUUUUGCUAAUGGUUCCUCUAAUACCUGCUCUAGCUCUGCCCAGCUCUGUGAUUUCUGUACUGGUUUGUGUGUAGUGGUCUCCGACACAAAUUGAGGACUGGUGCCGUACUACUCUUAGAGGAUUAGAAUUCAGUCAAGAAAACCCUGCUAGCAGAGCAUCAUCGCGAAGUCAGCCCCUUGGAAAUGAAGAGCUGAUAAAAAGGACAUGGGUAGUGCCACUUUAAUUGAGCAGCCCCUACAAUAUGCAGACUUUAAUUACUAAUAUAGUUGACUGCGCAUUAAUCGAAAUCUAAUUUUUGUACAACACCCUUGCCAUCAUCAGUGCAUAGGAUAGAAAUCCUGUCUGAUAGCCACUACUGAAUACAGUAUUUUCCUGUUUCCCCAUCUUGUCCUUUCAUUACCUUUCCAUCCAAUUUCAUUCUUUUCUGCCCAAGCAAUCCCAAUUCUUGCUUAAUUCCUCAUCAGCUUUCCCCCCAUCACCACCAGCCUGCCAUCUACAACCUCCCCAGCAACUGCCAGCAUUCAUGGCUGUGACAAGCUUUCCUGGGUCCCACAAGGAUCAGGUGUGCCCAUGUUAAUCUGCUCCAGGCCGACUAAUCCCCCUGGCUAAACCCGGUCACUGGGUGUCUCUUCUCCACCCACCAGUCUGUAUCAUCUGCUCUCAGGGUGGCCCUGGCAGGUCAGCAGGACACGCAGUGCUGAGGGAGAAGCACGCUGCAGCCUGGAGGUGUGGAGGACCUCACACCUCUGCCUCUGCCUCAAAAUCACCCACCCUUAAGUCAAGCACCUCUAAGUUAGAAGCAAACAAAAAGCACUUGUUUGGUAUCUGUAGAAGUGUCCUUCACUCAGGCAGGAGUCAUCAAACCACCUUGUGCCACAGCUUGUCCCUCCAGUUUAGUGAGGCAGGUAUCCCACGGGCACGGCUCAAAGCCAUUCUUACCUGUCCAGCCAGAAAACAGUGUCAGCCAACAAUUUCUCAGAGGCUUAAUUAAACUGUAAGCAAAUGACUAAUAUAUUGUGAAGCAAAACAAUCACUUCCUCAUCAUGGCCACACAGGCAGAUCUCAGAACAAGACCUUCCCUCCCCGUGACUGUGUGCAUGACAAAACCGUGUAACUGGGAUUAUUUUGCUCACAUACUCGCGUGCCUGAGACUGAUGCAUGCGGCUCAUACGCAGGUCUUGUCCAAGAGCAAACACAGUUUCAAGCCCUCCGUCUCUGAGCAGGAAUGGGUUUGGGGGGCUGUCCACUGGCACUGCCUUUUGCAGGACAUGGUGACUCAGGACUACCUUGAACCACCGUCUGCUCUGUGCCCUCAUCCCUUCACGUAGUCACUCUGAGCAUCCUCUUCUCUGUGGUUGUUAGCAGGGUGAAAACAGGGAGCUCUGAAGAAACCGUGACCCUCAGUCCCGGUAUCUGUACUGGGACCUGUAGACGUCUGGAUGGAGACCCCAGAACCAGGCAGUGGCACAGAGUGGGAAAGUAGUACAAGACUCCUGAAGGACAAAAUUAUUGGGGAAUUCCACCAAAUUGCUGAAGUUCUUACAUGUAUCUUAACAUAUGGUCUUGUUUUCCAAAGGCUUAUACCUAGCCCAAAUUUGGGAAGAUUUUCACAGGAACAGCAGAAGGCAUACCCCAAAAACCUCUCACACCUGCCAAAUUUCACAACUCUGCUCCAAACCAUGGAAAAAUAGAGCUCGGAAAGGUCACUGGUAUUUUUAGCCUUACUUCGUAAGGAAAUACAGCUAUGCGAUCACACCACAGCUCACUCCGUUUGCAUUCCCUGCUACUACAUUGGAAUCAUUGGCUGGCCUCAGCCAAAUGUGACAGAAGAGCGGAAGGUGCAAAGAUAUUAAGUUCCUACAAGCUUCAUGAAAAUAGGAACUGGGCAAAGCAGAGAUCCAAAUAAUGCUGGCAAAGAGAGGGAAGCGGCAGGUGCCCGGCCUUUGCUGUGCAACAGAUUAAAUAUUGUUCCUCUGCUUCAGCAAUGGGUUCCUUCUGAAACUACAUUGCCCUAGUAAUAUAUUUUGGCUGCUUCAGAUGUGGGCAACUUGUAGUCUCGGGGGCCAGAGCUGAUGGGCUCAUGGGGAAGGGACCAUGGCUCUUUGUUCCCCUCAUGAGAUGCAGCACCCGGAGAAGUCACUGUAGUGGUGUCAUCAGUACACCUUUGCAGAUGGUGUUAGGGUGAUCUCCUCUCACCCACUGAAGGCAUUACCUGGGUGUAGUCAAAUAUUUGGGUGAGUUUGUGUUAAGUAAAAUGCCUUUUGUGAUCUCUAGAACCCAAGGGUUUUGCUAGAAUACUAGGCAAUAUUUUAAAAGGGAUGCCUGAUAUUCGAGUAAUGUAAUUUAGUUGCAUCCCUCAGUGUAAAUAUGGGCAAAUUACUUUCCCACUUUAACUUUAAUGACCUCUUGCAUUUUAUGUGGCAUAUAGCAUCCUGAGAGGACAUAAAAGAUGACACACAAAUAUGAGGCUAUUAAACCAAAGAUUUAUAUGUAACAUUUGAAGCAAAGUUGUGUUGUGCCUGAAAGCAAGUCCCCUAGAGAUCCUGAAUCAGCAGCAACCCAAAGAUAGCAGGACUCUUCCCUUGGCCCCCAGGGACAAGCUAGGCAAGCACUGAUGUCCUUUGUCCCCAAGGGGCUGUCUGAGUGCAGGAAGCCUGCUGGAAGGCCACGUGCUGAGGUGGAAGAUGACUAUAGUCCUACCUCCAUAGUGUGCGCAGUGCCUCAAAACCAGGAUUAAGGAGAGCUCUGCAACCAUGAGGAGCCUUUAAUAGAACAAUAGGCAGGUCAACAAAAAGGAGGAAGAACAACUCAGGAGGCAUCCCAGUGUGGAGCAGGUCUGGCUGGCUGAUGCAAGUGCCUGUAGGGCUCUACCAGGAUCUUCUAGGGUAUUAAGUUGCAAAUAAGGCUCUUAUGGAACUAGAUAACCUUACAGGCCGGAUGCAGGCACAGGUCACCUGCCUUGUCAACAUCUUCUAGUCCUCAGAUUUAUGCUUGGCUCUGCUAAAUAAAGUACUUUUGGCUCAGACGUGGGUCACCAGGUGAUGCUGAUCUGUGAUAUCCUUUCUUUGUUACCGAUGUAUCCUCCAGUGUCUGUGUCACUCACAAGCACUAUCAGCGGUGAUAUUAGGUUUUCUUCUAAGAAGUUAUGCAAAAUAUUAGCUUUAAUGGAGACAAAAUAAAUGACCCCUGAAGUGGCCUGCAUGCAAUGAACACAAGAAAAGAUGAUUCAUAUUCACAAUUUAUUUUAAGGUGUAGACAUUAAGCAGCCUGUAGUUGCUUAAUUUAAUUUAAUAUUGACACAUUGAUUUCAUGCCAUUCUAGUUUCUAAGCCAAUGUUGCACAGUACCAAGUCCAAGGGGUUUUCUCUCUUUCAGCAAAAUUUAUCAUCUCAUCAAAGGCCUCCCGUUAGUUUGAGAAAGGACAUUUUAUAUAAACCAGCGUGGAUUUGCACAGUUUUUAGCGACCUCCUUUUGUUCUUAGAGCACCAUGCCAGCUGUUGCGUUAUUUGGUCUGCACUGUAUCUCACUUCAUCAGUUUGAAUCUUAACGCUGUCCUGAAACAAAGCCCUGAAGCAGUUAAUGUGAGAGCUGUGUCAGCUUAUAUAUAUCUUAGAAAUUACCUGGAUAAUUUCCGUUCUUGUAGUUUUCUCAUUUUAUUCCACUCCUAAUCCAAAAACAAAUGACAAAUUUUGAAAUAUGUCCUGGAAUUAAAAUUCACUUUACAAGAGUAUUUUGAUUAAUCAAAAGGUUUUCAAUAAAAUAAUGUAUCUGUGAUGUUUUAAUAAGAUUGGAACACUUGGCUUAAGCAAAGAAGAUUGUAAUUUUAUCAAAAUCCAUACACAGGGCAUUUUCAUUUGUGUAAAAAGGCGAUGUCUAAUAGGAAAAUGUUUGGUCAGAACAUUUUUCAUCAUGAAGUGAGGAGAAGAUACACAAUGAUGCUUCUCAAACUAUUGCCUACCCAAGUCAGAUGCCGUGCGAACCUUAUGUGGUUCUCACUGGCUCUUUUCCUGGUUUGUUUGCAGUAAGUCCCACCAAAAGAGAAUCAUAAAAUCAUUGAAUAGUUCUGGUUGGAAGGGACCUUCAAAGCUCAUCUAGUCCAACCCCCUGCAACGAGCAGGGACAUCUUCAACUAGAUCAGGUUGCUCAGAGCCCUGUCUGGCCUGGCCUUGAAUGUCUCCAGGGAUGGGGCAUCUACCACUUCUCUGGGCAACCUGGGCCAGUGUUUCACAACCUUCAUUGUAAAAAAUUUCUUCCUCAUGUUCAGCCUGAAUCUCCCCUCCUUUAGUUUAAAAACCACAACCUGCCCUGUGUGCUGACAGAGCUGUGCAAUGCUGGCAUCCCGUGGCAGGUCUGCCCACCCGCUUGGUGCUGCGAGGAAAGAGAAGGGUCUUUUUGAGGGGAUUAAAGAUGAAUAGAAAAAGAGACAAGCCUGUGCACUUUGUGUUCCUAACAUCUGAAGGAAACAGGGUGACUCAGUUUUCCUGAGUUGACCUUGGUUUAUACUACUGGUUUUUACAGCCUCAGAAGAAAGGAAUCAACUUUUUAAUUUGAGCUGUCACUGUUCAUACGUUUCAGUCUGGCAGUCAGGGCUCAGCCCCCCGCGUUGCCUGCAACAGCAGCAGCAAUAUGGGCUCGUUGGAGGUGGUGACGUCUUGGAGCCGUGAUAAGAUCUCAACAGAGCAAUGCCUUUGUUCAGAUAUCAGCCAUUCCACAAGGAAAAAAGAAACGUCUUCAGAAUCCCUGUUUUACUCUCCUUAGUCAAAGGAUAACGAUUUUUGUUGCCAUAGCUCAAGCUAUCUCCGUAGAAGUGGGGAGGUUAUGGAGGGCUGGUGGAGUGGGGAAUGGGGAGCUGGAAGAUUUUUGAGGUGCAUGCCUGGCCCAGAUGUAGUACCCAUGGGUUGGAAGUGGUACCCUUGGCCCCGAGUCCUGAUGUUGUUUUGCUUAGCUGGUGGUUUGUGCCCAUGACUGUGAGCAGGGAUUACCUUUUGUAAUCGGAUGUCAUGAAUGGAGAGUACUUAAUUGGGCUUUUUUGGUGGCUGUUGUUAUUAUGACAGAGAAAAAUAUUAUCCUGUCAUGCAUUUAUUAACAUUUUUUAUGGAGGAAGCCUGUCUCAAUCUGUGUCUCUGUUACAGCCAAAUGCAAACCCUACUGUUUUCUGUUCUUACUGCAUAAGAGCCCUCUGUGUAACAGAGGCAAAAACCACACUGUGUACUACGGAAGAUUUCUGAUUAUUUUUUCUUAAAAGCUGCAUGCAUUUCAUUGAAUGUCUAUCAUAUUAUCGCUUGGCUUGAUAGUCUAGAUACUUCAUCUCCUUGACAACAGACAACAUCCAGUGUGGAGCAUCCCACUGCCUCCAGAUGCUGUGGGAAUCUUGCCACCCCUGGCAGGCAGGAGGGCUCAGCCUGGCUUGGGAGGUGAGGAGCAGUGUGUCUGCACAGGGAGGGAGGGGGCCAGUCCCAGCCGAACUGCCUUCACCCCCACCAUGCUUGGCCCCAGGUUAGUCUGAAACGCCGUGAACCACAACAAAAUUAACUUUUCUGCUUCUCAGAAACGUAAGAACUUAGAGCGAUAGAAUAAUUAAUGCAGCUGAUUAAAGGCGGCAAUUACACAUUAACAAAGGAAGAUAAGCAUUUAGUUUCCAGCCUUAUUGCAUUUCAGACUUCUAUAUUGGUUCCAAAGAUGGCUGCAGACUUAUUUGCCUUGCUAUAUAUGCAUGUACAUAAUAUACAUAUGUAUGAUUACAAUCUCCUGCCCUGCUUCAAUAAUAUACUUAAUUGCUUUCUAGCCCCACCUCAAGCUGCCUAAAUUCAUUUCACAGGGAAAAGAUUAUUUACUGUUGGCCUUUAGCAAAUAAAUUGCCUGCCAUCCUUAAUCUGGGUAAUAAAAGGUACUGUAUCAGCCUGCUCGCAGUUCUGCACGUUGCAUCUGCUUCCACACAAAGUAUUACUGACAGCUAUUUUCCUUUUGCCAUCUCCAGCAAAUGGAGUGAGUACAUAAUGUAAAAUGUAAACCCAACAGAUCGGCUGAGAGUUGGAUUCCUUGUCUUCCAUUACUCUCUCUGUGACAUUAAGUAAAUUAUUUGCAUAUGACAUUUGCAUUACAUAUUACAUCUACCGUGCUAUUUUUUUAAGUGCCAUGCAUUAUAAUAAAUGGUAAAUAUAUGGGUGCAAUAUUCUGAUCCACUGGCAUGUUUCCAUACAUGCAUACUUACACACAGAAGCACGUAUGCACACACUAAAUACACCUGUGCGUCCAUACAUCUGCAGUCGCAAAAACUAUGGCUAUGGUUCACACUGUUCAUGUCAAUAGGCUUUUCCCCCAAAGUAUUAUACUAGGGGACACAAAUUGGAAAGAGGAGAAGACACAUAAAAGAAAACAAGGGACCAGUGUUCAGGUAGGAUUUUUCCAUCCAAAGGAGGAGUCACUAAUGUGAUAUUUUUCAUUACAGGAGGGCAUCAGGAGGCAGGAUUGCUGAAGACUGGGGAGAACACACAGCCUUUCGCUCUUAUCACUUUCACAUGAGGGACUGUGGGGAUGUAAAAGGUCCGUGGUGCUGCAAAUGUCACAGCCGGGCAAUUCCCAGAACGUCAGGUGUGAGGUUGCAAACGUGAGAAGCACGUGGCAUCCUUUAAAAGUAAUCCAGUGUGAGGAAGUAGCUUCUGGAGAUACUGUAAUCUCCUUGGGGUCCACACUGUGCAUCUGUGCUUAAGUGUUUAAGUGGCUCUGUGUGUCUUUGGUGGAAGAACACAGGGCACUGAAAGCUUCCAGACUGCUUUCGGUUUGGGUUUUUGUGGGGCUGGUUUGAUUGGUUGGUUGGUUCAUUGGUUGGUUGGUUUGGUUUGUUUUUUUAAUGUGUCAGGAAGAAGCGGUAGGAGGUGACAUUUUUUUUCUCUGAUAAAUAGCAUACAGGUUCCACAUUCAACUUACCAGAAAAUAAGGACAAUGCUAGAAAAUGUCAAUGCAAAUUUUGCUGUAGCCUCCUUUUGUACUGGUUUUGUUCAGCUCCCCAUGAAGUGAACAGCAAGAGAGCACAUGAAAUCAUGAGAGGCAGGAGGUGGUGGGAACUGGGACACAACGUUCAGCAGAAAAAAUUGAUCAAGGUCAAUCCCCAAUGUUGGCAGAUGCAGAGGAGUAUGGGAUAAAUUGUGCAUGGGUUUGGUCCUCAACAUACCUCACAGCUGCUCCCUGUUUAAAGCCAGGCUGAUAUGAAAACAUAUGGGAUAUUGCCUGCCUGCCUGUUUUAAUGAUGGUAAAGUAUCAUUCCUCACUCAAGCUGUGGGGGGUAGUCAGCUUCUCAAAGGCAGGAGGUAAAGGCAGUAAUUAAAGUAAAUUGAAAUAUGCUUAUGAGCCCAGGGGCAGCAGGGCAAAAGAGGUGGGUGCCCGGCAGUGCAGUGCUCCCUGCACUCCUCAUGUGAGGAAAGAGCUGCACCCACCACCCUCUAACCUGCUUUAUCUCCCAGGGAGAAGCAUCCUUCACCCAGAAUGUAAAGUCAAAGGUUUCCUCUGUGGUUGCUCCUGAGCAUCUCUCAUGUAUGUGCUCUGUGUUUACCUUCUGGGUGCUUUUGGGCACAGGCUAAGAAACUGAGGCAGCCACCCUGCUCUUUCUUCACCUGUGCUGUUUUCCAGGAUGGGCCAAGUGAUGCUCAGCUGCAUCCCUGCUUCACUUGUGCCGUAGUUAUUUGGUCAUGCUGGGAGCUGGCCUUGGACGCCCUGGAACUGCCAACCUACUCAUGGGCACGUCCAGCAGCAGCAGCAACCCUAUGUCUGAGCAUGCAUCAAAAGGACAGUGAGACUUCCCGUACACGGAGGGCAGUGUGCUCCACAACACAAUAACCUCAGACAGAACAUCGCGCUGAUGUGGCCCUUCUAGUUGUACCUCCAUUGACUCAUUGUGAGAUGCUUCAGGUAGAUCAACAUGGGAACAUGCUAGGAAGAAGAAAAAAGGCAGGCAGAGGUAGGUAACUGCUGCUGCAGGCGGAUGGGCUGGAUAGGCUGGGAUGUAUCGGCCUGGAAGAGAGAUGGCUGCAGGACAACGGUGAGUAUGUGAGAGGUCUGCAAAAGAAAGGGAAAUGGGAAGGAACUUUAAUUACUUCUCACCAGACUUGAAGUCAUUAUGUAAGUUUACUAGGCAGCGGGUUUAAAAAAAGCAGGGGUAAAAAGGUAUUUUAGUGCUUAGUUGCACUUUGAGAUUGUUGGCACAGGAUGGUGUGGGUGCCAGGAGCUUUGUAAGUGGUCAGAAAGCAGCUGGACAAAUUCAAUAAAGUAAAAUCCUUCAAGGGCUGCUAAACACAUGGAUGUCACCUCAAGCUGGUGAAGUCCUUGAACCACGGGAUGGUGUUGCCCUGGGAUAGACCCGUUGCAUGCCUGCACUUUCACCCUCCCUAGACAUCUGCUCCAGCCACUGGGUAGGGGUUGGUGGGGGCUGGCUGCCCAGGACGGCUGGUUUCUGUUCCUGCAGCUUCCUGCGCUGUUUUGACAUUCCUCCUGAGUGAAUCACCCCGGCCAGCUUUGCCUCACGGAAUUAGACACUGCAAGGGCAGAAGCUAAAGGCACCCAGCGUGCCCAGCCCAUCGGCUGAGUGGGGAGGUUCCCCCCUGAGCUACACAAGUCCCAGGCUUCGGGGACACCUGAGUGUAUUUGCAUCUCUGUCACACACGAAGGCUGUGGGGAGUAAUUUCUUGCUAAUGAAUCGGCUGCUUUGCAGAUUGCGACAUACGUUCCACGCAUUUGUCACAGGGCUCCUAACUUGCUCAGGCCCUUUUUUAUUCCCACUUUGGGAGCAAGGAGGCCUCUGUUUUGCAACGGAAUAUUUUGCUCCUUGUGAGUAUCAUGAGCAGCAAUGAUUAAUGGCAGAAUUUGGAAAAAAAGAAAACUUAAAUAUGAAUUUCAGAGUUUCUCAUCUGAUGCAUUUCAAUGCCAUUUCAUUGUGCAGCAUGAUGACAGUUUAAAACAAUUUUUCAUGAAAACUUUCUGGCAUUGCUGCAGCUCCCCAUUCCUGUAACUCUGGGCUGAGAAACACCAAGGCUACAAGGAGCCCUGAGCCUGACUAGGCUCACAGGGACAGAAAAACAGAAAGCUUCCCAGCUUGGUGCUCAGACCUGCUGUCUGCUAACAGCAAGGAAGCUGGUUUUAAUUUUAGAGGUGCAAAUUAAACCAUAUGGGAACAAAUUGUGAACAAAACCUGUAACAUGUAGGUGAAAGUCCUAAAAAUUAAAGUGUGUAAAAGGGAAGGCAAAGCAGGCUGUGGUGUCUGGGAAGAGUCUCCUUGGAGCUCUCGCUGCAAGAGCCCCAGAGGCUGUCUCUGGGGAAGUCCCUGAGGAUGCUUGUGGGCCAGCCAGGGGCUGGCUGGCUCCUCUGGUUCCUGGUGACUUUAAUUGUGCUACAUCUUGGAUUUUCUUCCUUCCGCCUCCUCUUUCUCACAAAGCAAGUCCCUUCGGAUAAGUGAGGGGUCACAAGGAGAGGCAUGCUGCCUUGGCAAGCCCUCUGGGAGCCCUGUGGAGCAGAGGCAGGCAAGUGAAUCUCUGGACUUUACCCUUUAUCUUUCCAGAUAGAGCAGCUGUGUCUGGCCAAGGUCUGGCUGAGGCCAUCAUUUCAAAAUCAAGCUGGAAAUCAUAGAAUCACAGAAUGUUCUGAGUUGCAAGGGACCCACAAGGAUCAUCAAGCCCAACUCCUGUCCCUGCAUAGGACAACUCCAAAGUUUUACAUGCAAAUGCGAAUCUGAGUUUCCAGGCUCCAUCAUUUCCAAGGUCUGUGGCAGCAUCCCGAGCACAGCUGGGAGCGCCUGGAGCUGGAGAACCGCUUGCAUCUUGGAUCUCUUUACUUAAUUUAUUCUUAAUGAGAGCUGGGGUUGCCUGUGUAUGUAAAUCACUCUGAUUAUUGUAGUUUUACUAUACACCAUCUGCUUUCAUGGGAUUUUGUGGGCAUAAAGACAGUCAUUGCUAUGAGUGUGCGUGUGCAUAUUUACAUAGGGUUUACAGGUCAGGUAGCCUCAGCUCUCCGCAGGCAGUAACCCCACUGGAGACUAUAUAAUCCAAAAAACUGGAUUUGGAGGCAGUGCACCUCCACUCACAGAGCAGGUGAGAGACCUGUAUUGUCUCAAGACAGUGACUGGAGUGUUUGUUAAAAGGAGUAUCUGUUUCCUGACACACUUUGCUCAUAAUGAAACUACCUUCUGUGGCAUCAGUAGCCUAAUGUCAGGAAUUUUUCUUCCCUGAAAGCCUUCUAUUUUAGUGCUUUUUAAAGUUAAGAACACAAGAGAAGGGACGGGUGUUCUUUCCCCAAUUUAGGAUGGCUUUUUUUUUCUUUCCGAAACUAGUGUUUGCACUAGGGCUGGAGCAGCACUGGGUGGCUGGAGGAAACACUGGGUGCAGCCAGGGCUCAGAGCAUCCCGAGCAGAGCCAGGCAGCGUUGGCCCCGGUGAGACGAGCGAGACCUGGACUCUGGAGGCGAAACACAAAGAUCUGCCAUUGGAGAGAAGUGUGAGAGGAGUGAAGGAAUAAAUCUGUUAAAAAAGCAAGGUUUGCUUUGUACUGAAGGGAUCCUGUUAGAAAGCCUAAGCCAAAACCUUCAGGUUUAUAAAACAAAAUGGUCUUUAAUUUUUUUUUCAUUAUUUCAAUAAAAUAAAAUGUCUGUUGCUUGUUUAAAUAUCCCUGGCUGGUCUUAGAAAGAGAAACAAAGCAGGGCUUGCUGACGCAGGAGGAGCAGAAAGCGUCAAUGGCAGCUGUGCGUCCCACAUCCUGGCUGAGCAGGACAUGAAGCAUGAUGCCACCACCUCAGCCCUGGAAAAAACAUUGCAUCCUGAAAUGUACUCAGAUAAAAACACACCCCAGGUCUCAAGGGCAGCUCAGGUGAGGGUAGAGAAAAGUAGUAAGGGUGCUUUCAUCGCCUCCCUGGCUUUAGCAGGAGGCCUCUGUGUUUGAUAAUACUCUGUAUAUCUCAAAAUGCAACUGCCUUGCUGAAGAAGUUCAGGGUUAUUUUUAGGCAUUUGGAAUUGUUUUUUGUACUCAAAAGUGCUCUCCAGGACUACAAACAGGAGGCCAGCUGGAAAGCUCAUGUUUUAGGUUUGCUUUGGAUGGUAAGCACUUCACAGAGAGCUGGGGAGGGUUUGUCCCAGCCCUGGUCCCCCAGCAGGGCCAUGGCGUGGGUGUGGGGCAUGGCAAUGCUCCUGGCCCCAGGUUUUGGAGGGGGCACAGGGAUGACACCUUGGAGCACCAAAAUCUUUUAUUUUGUAAAAAAUGUUGAAAGAUUUGAGUUGGGGCCAGACCCCUGAAAAGCCAGGCGCUAGCUCCAGCAGGACUCAUUAGCUCAGUGCAGGAAUUGCUAGGUGAAUCUUUACAGCUGAGUUGUGAGGAGAUAAAACUACAUUAUGUUAACGGUCUCUUCUGGCCUGAGUAUGGAGGGGUCAGGCAGCAGGAGAGCACCAGGCCUUGCAGAGAGUGAGAUGGAGCCUAGCUUGGUAAAACCAGGGCAUGGGGGAGGCUGUGACACCAUGGAAGGUGGAAAGAAGACUGUCCCUAAAGCUAUAUCUCCUCCCAAGGACCCUCCGCCAGGUUUGACGUGCAGAUGGGGAUCUGAGGAGGACAUCGGAGAUGGGAGCUGUGGGAUGUUGUGUUGCGUGUCCCUCCUUCGUGCUGCUCCUCAGCUGAGCUCAGAGCUGUGCUUCCCCCGUCCUGCUUGGCUGCCCUGGGGUGUGCAAGGAGACGGGUGGGAGGGGGGCACUCCGAAAGUCUGUUGCGGUGGCCCCGCUUUUACAGCCAGUUAAUAAUGAAUCACAUUUGAGCAGGCUGCAAGCUGAAGGUUACAGCAUUGCCAGAGGAGGAAAGCCCAGCGGGAGCAGGUGGCAGGAGAGCUGACUCCAGGUAUUGUCAGCCACGACGGCUUGCAAACAGAUGGCAUGGAGAAGCAGAGGCUCUGAAUUAGUUGUGCCCAUCCCAGUUGCAGGUGCAACACAGCUUCCUGCAGAAAGCCACAAAGCAGACCAGAGCAGCAACAGGAAAACUUCCCUAGAUGCCUCUCCCAUGCCUCUGGAAGAAUUGCACGGCAUGGCCUUGGCACACACAGCAAAUAGAGCAACCUUGCAGCACGGCUGGGAAGCCAGUGAGCGCAGCAGCACCCACUCCUCCCCAAAGGCUCAUGGAGAAAUUUAAGCACCGAUUUGGCAAAGGACGUGAGGGAUGAUUUCUAACACACCUUGCAUUAACCAUCGCUGUGAAAUUGCCCCGUCACAUGAGGUAAAGCACUGCAAAAUGAAGAUGGAGGCAGAAAAUAAGGAGCUGGGAUCAUUUUCAUCAGGCUAACUGUAGGAGUGAUCUGCAAAUUUGUUAAGAAGGCCAGUGAUGUUUAAUGCAUGCCUUAAUGAUCUGGAAAAAGCGGUGAGCAGUGAGGUGGCAAAUCUGCAGAUGGCCUCAAAUUGUUGCAGUUGCUCAGGAUGAGGCUGUGAGGCGCAUUUUUAUGGCAAGGCCCCUGCCCAGGAACUUGGCCUCUGAUGAGGAGAGGAGAGUGUUGGAAAGGAGAGAAGGAAAUUCUAUUUCUGCCAAUAACAGAUGCCAGAGCCUCCCUCUGGAAUAGCCACAAAUCCUGAGGAAAACGGCAUCCUGAGCCACUUCCUCUUGGACCAGAAAACAAUAGCGGUGUGCUAAGCCUCCGCUACAUCCAUGCACAGCCUUAAAGGAGCUACACUGAACUGCAAGACACCAGCAUCCCCACAUUUCCUAAAGAUCAUGGUCGACCUGCCUCAGGUUCAGGGCCUGACUCAGCAAGACAGGGAAUUUACACCCACUGAAAUCCCAGUUUCAAUGGCCUUAAAGAUGUGCUCAGCAACACACCAGCCUGAUGGACCAGGCUGUUUAAUGCAGCAGUCUAUAAAGCCAUGGAAAACGCUAAGGCUGGGUUUCAUUGCACUUUCAACUUGCUGAAAGAUGUUAAUGGUGUGUGUGCUAAGAUGCUGUGCUGAAUCAAACCUGAGAAAAGCACCUCGUAAUGCCAUGGUCAGUGUGUUAGAUGGUAUUAUCUUGUACAUGGGGGGAGCUGUCAAAACUCAGGAAGAUGAAUUGUAUGUAGCUUCAAAAAGCAUGCCUUUGCCUUCACAUUUUCAUGUAUAUAAUAGUGUUGUGGGAGCAGUAGUGAAGUGAUAAAGCCAAGUCUCAAGGUAGCUCAGCAGAAAUGAAUAAAUCUUUGUAAUUGACAGGCCUUAAUAAUAAUAAAUACGUGAAGGGUUUAUUUCUCCCUCUAUCCAGUUAGAAAAUUACUACAUGGGAAUACUCGCCAGCAAUUGGGACUCUUCUAAAUAAUUACCAAGUCAAUCCAUUCUGCAACCUCUGCCAGCUUCAGCAUCUCAAUAAUUAAAAAGGUAUUACUUGUAGCUAAUGGUAAAGAGAACAGAUGUUUCCACUUGGAAGCUUUUUCCUUCUUAUUUCCCAUAAUUUUCACUGCUUUAAGCCAUACUGUGUCUGAAUAUUUCCCAGUUAUACUGGCACACCUGUUCCAGCAGGUCACAGAGGCAAAGCCCAGUGUGAAUCCGCACCCUGGGGCACAUGAGGGGUGCAUCUGCAGAAGCGAAGCUGGGUUUAUUGCGCUGAAGGUGAUCACUGUCGUUAGCUGGAGGGUGAAGCAGCAGCAUGUUCUCCCUAAGUUGGCUUAAUACCCUUUUCCAUGUUCCUGCUGGUGCCCUGUCACCUGAAUGCCAGGCAGGCUGAAACUCACAGCCAUGUGCCCAGGCUUGCUGGGCAAGGAAUCUUCAAAGCUUUUUCCAUCUCUGGAGGUAGCUCAUACACAAAACUGGGAUUCUUUCUCUGCUAAAGUUUUGUACGCCGCCCUUAGCCCCAGCACUGGUCUGGACCGCGCUCAGUCUCUGCAUUCUCUCAGUGUGAAUUUUGAGGGUUGUUCUUCCAGGCGUGAAAUCAUCUGCUUGAUGGUGUUGUUUUGCUUUCCUCUGAUGUUAUAGCUCUUCUGUGGCCUGCUUUGCUUUGCUUGCUACUACAACUACACAGUAUGUCAUUAGCACUCUAUAAAUGCCUCAGCCACCUCGAGGUGAAAUAAAA
Columba livia (rock pigeon) is the source of this 14232-nucleotide long non-coding RNA. RefSeq lists it as uncharacterized. Lineage: Eukaryota; Metazoa; Chordata; Aves; Columbiformes; Columbidae. The record is from RefSeq and is a predicted model, not a curated record. The transcript has 3 exons.